Polyodon spathula (Mississippi paddlefish) is the source of this 649-nucleotide long non-coding RNA. RefSeq lists it as uncharacterized. The record is from RefSeq and is a predicted model, not a curated record. The transcript is spliced from 13 exons. Lineage: Eukaryota; Metazoa; Chordata; Actinopteri; Acipenseriformes; Polyodontidae.
CUGCGGCGUUUUUAAUAGAGAGAGGGUGUGCACUGUCCGAGUCUACAUGAUGCAGUCCAGAACAGAGGGUGGUCACUUUGACAGUGCUGCUAUCCAGAAGCAAGCAAAGGUUCUGGUUUCUGGAGGCUUCCAGAUGCAGCUAGAAAUUACCUUGAAGAGGGUGAACAAAGCUGAAGAUGAAGACUUCACAGUUUUGUUGGUUAAACCCAGCCCUCCAGUAAAUCCAUAUGGUGCCUGAUGCCUUGGAAGCUGAUGGACAAUUGCAUUGACCAAGAACUAACAGGAGAUACUUGUAUGCCCUCUGCCAAGAAACAAAAGGGUUCAGUGCUAAUCCUGUAAUCCUCCAUUUUGCUGCUUGAUGGUGAGCUUAGUGUGUAAUGAAGUUCAUAUGGCUGCACUGUCUUGACUCCGAUACUGUACUACCAAAGGUUGCUCCAGGCUUGUAGUUCUGUGCAAACAGAUACUGUUGUGUAAACUUAGUACUUGGAUGAAGAUUCUAUUGAAUGGAAAGUUACUUUAAGCCUUAAAGGUAUGUCUCCAGUCGUUCCACUGGGUGCAACAGUCCUGAUGAACUGGUUGCAGUGCAGUCUUCAAACCUUGAAGCACUUUGUUUUGUACAUGAACUAUUUGCAAUAAAGAUUCCAAUACA